UGAGGAAUAUUGGUCAAUGGACGCAAGUCUGAACCAGCCAAGCAGCGUGCAGGAUGACGGCCCUAUGGGUUGUAAACUGCUUUUAUAGGGGGAUAAAUGGGGGAACGUGUUCCCUUUUGCAGGUACCAUAUGAAUAAGGACCGGGUAAUUACGUGCCAGCAGCCGCGGUAAUACGGAAGGUUCGGGCGUUAUCCGGAUUUAUUGGGUUUAAAGGGGGCGUAGGCCGUUUGGUAAGCGUGUUGUGAAAUGUAGGAGCUCAACUUCUAGAUUGCAGCGCGAACUGUCAGACUUGAGUGCGCACAACGUAGGCGGAAUUCAUGGUGUAGCGGUGAAAUGCUUAGAUAUCAUGAAGAACUCCGAUUGCGAAGGCAGCUUACGGGAGCGCAACUGACGCUGAAGCUCGAAGGUGCGGGUAUCGAACAGG
RNAcentral lists this ribosomal RNA (424 nucleotides) under Verrucomicrobiota bacterium. RNAcentral describes it as "Verrucomicrobia bacterium partial 16S ribosomal RNA". It matches the Rfam family "Bacterial small subunit ribosomal RNA", at positions 355 to 776 of the family's 1533-position model. Lineage: Bacteria; Pseudomonadati; Verrucomicrobiota. The record is from RNAcentral.